UAUAAAACUUUCAACAACGGAUCUCUUGGUUCUGGCAUCGAUGAAGAACGCAGCGAAAUGCGAUAAGUAAUGUGAAUUGCAGACACCGUGAAUCAUCGAAUCUUUGAACGCACAUUGCGCCCUUUGGUAUUCCGAAGGGCAUGCCUGUUCGAGCGUCA
This 158-nucleotide ribosomal RNA is filed under the name Pilidium concavum. RNAcentral describes it as "5.8S ribosomal RNA". It matches the Rfam family "5.8S ribosomal RNA". Rfam says of the family: 5.8S ribosomal RNA (5.8S rRNA) is a component of the large subunit of the eukaryotic ribosome. It is transcribed by RNA polymerase I as part of the 45S precursor that also contains 18S and 28S rRNA. Lineage: Eukaryota; Fungi; Ascomycota; Leotiomycetes; Chaetomellales; Chaetomellaceae. RNAcentral also lists the same sequence under 1 other name. The record is from RNAcentral.